RNAcentral lists this ribosomal RNA (253 nucleotides) under uncultured bacterium. RNAcentral describes it as "partial 16S ribosomal RNA". It matches the Rfam family "Bacterial small subunit ribosomal RNA", at positions 524 to 776 of the family's 1533-position model. The record is from RNAcentral.
UACGAAGGGGGCUAGCGUUGUUCGGAAUUACUGGGCGUAAAGGGCGCGUAGGCGGCGUGUCAAGUCAGGCGUGAAAGCCCCGGGCUCAACCUGGGAACCGCGCUUGAGACUGGCAUGCUCGAGUUCGGGAGAGGAUGGUGGAAUUCCCAGUGUAGAGGUGAAAUUCGUAGAUAUUGGGAAGAACACCGAUGGCGAAGGAAGCCAUCUGGACCGACACUGACGCUGAGGCGCGAAAGCGUGGGGAGCAAACAGG